CCCCGCCCUUCAACCCGCCGAGGACCGUUCCCACAGCCCAUUGGGCCUCUAGCUCCUUACUUAAGUCCCAAUCGUGGCGCAGGGCCGCGGCUGGCUAGUUUCCAUUGGCUGUCUUGCAUCACGGUUACCGGGGCGACAGGGGCCUCAUUUGCAUAGACCUCCUUGAUUGGCUAAGGGAGAGCAGGGUCUUUGGGAGGUGGGGCAAAAGCCUUUCCUUCUCUCCCACGGAAAGCCACGCCUUGUCCAAGCUCCGCCCGGUCCCCGCCCGCACGCCGGGCGGGGGCUGCUGACCUGGGCAGGCGCUCAGCGCCCCGCAGACUCAGUGUCAAUCCGGUCUGGAGCGCAAGUUUCGCUUUUAGAAAUUGUCAAGGUGACCAAGGGGACACUUGCGGGAAUUCUCUUUCCUUUGGCCAGUCAGUGUAAUAGAUGAGCAAAAUCUGGAGAUUCUCCCAAAUAUGUUCCAAAGGCAAGUUGGACCACGCGGACGAUGCCUGGCAGGUUUCUAAUCCGCCAAGCAGUAAUCCGAAGAAGUACACGCUUCCCACGAUGACGUCUUGCUCCCAGCAAACGCUGCACGCCCAGGCACCACCAAGCGCUUUACAAUCUCGGUUUCCUACCAAGUUCUCUGACUAAAAGCAAACGCAACGACACAGACCUAUUCGGAAACAUUUUAAAAGAUUUUUCUUUUUC
Molecule: long non-coding RNA, 690 nt
Organism: Felis catus (domestic cat)
Lineage: Eukaryota; Metazoa; Chordata; Mammalia; Carnivora; Felidae
Exons: 2
Source: RefSeq, a predicted model, not a curated record